GUGGGGAAUCUUGCGCAAUGGGCGAAAGCCUGACGCAGCCAUGCCGCGUGAAUGAUGAAGGUCUUAGGAUUGUAAAAUUCUUUCACCGGGGACGAUAAUGACGGUACCCGGAGAAGAAGCUCCGGCUAACUUCGUGCCAGCAGCCGCGGUAAUACGAAGGGGGCUAGCGUUGCUCGGAAUUACUGGGCGUAAAGGGCGCGUAGGCGGACAGCUUAGUCAGAGGUGAAAGCCCAGGGCUCAACCUUGGAAUUGCCUUUGAUACUGGCUGUCUUGAGUUUGGGAGAGGUGAGUGGAACUCCGAGUGUAGAGGUGAAAUUCGUAGAUAUUCGGAAGAACACCAGUGGCGAAGGCGACAUACUGGCUCAUUACUGACGCUGAGGCGCGAAAGCGUGGGGAGCAAACAGGAUUAGAUACCCGAGUAGUCC
This 425-nucleotide ribosomal RNA is filed under the name uncultured bacterium. RNAcentral describes it as "partial 16S ribosomal RNA". It matches the Rfam family "Bacterial small subunit ribosomal RNA", at positions 354 to 796 of the family's 1533-position model. The record is from RNAcentral.